RNAcentral lists this ribosomal RNA (420 nucleotides) under bacterium. RNAcentral's name for it is "partial 16S ribosomal RNA". It matches the Rfam family "Bacterial small subunit ribosomal RNA", at positions 355 to 776 of the family's 1533-position model. The record is from RNAcentral.
UGGGGUAUAUUGCAUAAUGGGCGAAAGCCUGAUGCAGCGACGCCGCGUGGGGGAUGAAGGCUUUCGGGUUGUAAACCUCUUUCGCUAUCGAACAAGGCCCGCUUAGGGUGGGUUGAGGGUAGGUGGUGAAGAAGCGCCGGCUAACUACGUGCCAGCAGCCGCGGUAAUACGUAGGGCGCGAGCGUUGUCCGGAAUUAUUGGGCGUAAAGGGCUUGUAGGCGGCUUGUUGCGCCUGCUGUGAAAACGCGGGGCUUAACUUCGCGCGUGAAGUGGGUACGGGCAGGCUUGAGUAUGGUAGGGGUGACUGGAAUUCCAGGUGUAGCGGUGGAAUGCGCAGAUAUCUGGAGGAACACCGAUGGCGAAGGCAGGUCACUGGGCCAUUACUGACGCUGAGGAGCGAAAGCAUGGGUAGCGAACAGG